AUCAUCCUCAUCCUCACACUAAUGCAAGGAAACACAAAAAGAGGCCGUUCUCAACCUUGCUGCCAUAGGUAAAAGUUAGCUGCUACGUACAUCUGUAUAAAGGGCGUUUCGCAGAAGAAAGAAGGCAUGGUUGCUGAAGAAGCUGCUGGGAGGAAUUUGCAUCCAGAUUUGUCAGCAGCAAGAAGCAAGAGAGACACUGAGCCUGGCCUGGGAUUUGAAGAAUUCAAGGUUGCUCCUAGUGACACACCUCCAACAUGGCCACACCUCCUAAUCCUUUCCAAUCAGAACUAAGCAUGCACAUUUGUGGGUUUAUAGUGGGCAGUCUUAUUCAAACUACCACAUUCCACUCCUGGCCCCUCAUAGGAUUAUGGCCAUAUUAUAAUGUAAAAUACUAAAAUACAAUCACACAUUCAGUCCAA
Molecule: long non-coding RNA, 419 nt
Organism: Rattus norvegicus (Norway rat)
Lineage: Eukaryota; Metazoa; Chordata; Mammalia; Rodentia; Muridae
Source: RefSeq, a predicted model, not a curated record